This is a long non-coding RNA of Microplitis demolitor, 421 nucleotides long. RefSeq lists it as uncharacterized. The transcript is spliced from 3 exons. Lineage: Eukaryota; Metazoa; Arthropoda; Insecta; Hymenoptera; Braconidae. The record is from RefSeq and is a predicted model, not a curated record.
GGAACAGUUAAAAAUAAAUAAACAAAAGGUAGUUUUUAUAGCUAAUAAGCUAAGAAACUCAAUUUCGAUACUUGAUGAUUUUUAAUUUUUCAUAUGGAGUUGGUUCAUUUAUAUCUAUAUCAUGUUUCUAAAUCAAUACUGGACUUGCAUAAAAAAAUAACUAAUUUUUAAAUAACUAGAAGGUCAUCUAAGACAAAAGCCUUUUUUCUUUUGUGGAAAUUAUUAAAAUCAUUAAAAUUGCAUGCAAUGAUGAAUUCACUGCAAUAAAUUAUGUAAUAAUUUAUUGCAUUACAUAAGAUUGCACAAUAAAAUAAAAAAAUAAUACUUACCCUCCAGGGAAUGAAAUUUCUUGGCAUUCCUACCCAUGCUGAUCUAAUUUGUCCAGCAUUGCGAAGCACCUGUCGUCCACUUCUAACUCCGU